This 323-nucleotide ribosomal RNA is filed under the name uncultured eukaryote. Its description in RNAcentral is "partial 18S ribosomal RNA". It matches the Rfam family "Eukaryotic small subunit ribosomal RNA", at positions 1470 to 1796 of the family's 1831-position model. The record is from RNAcentral.
CCCUUAGAUGUUCUGGGCUGCACGCGUGCUACACUGAUAUUGCCAAUAUGUCAUUCUUAUCCGAAAUGGAUUGGGUAAUCAAGUAAUGAAAUUUCAUGCUUGGAAUCGGUAAUUGCAAUUUUAUCGUGAACGAGGAAUUCCUAGUAAACGCGAGUCAUCAGCUCGCAUUGAUUACGUCCCUGCCCUUUGUACACACCGCCCGUCGCACCUACCGAUUGAAUGGUUCGGUGAAGAUCUCGGACUUCGAUAUUUAUUCUUUAUUGAGUUUAUAUUGUGGGAAGUUAUCUAAACCUCAUCAUUUAGAGGAAGGUGAAGUCGUAACA